Non-coding RNA from Oncorhynchus kisutch (coho salmon), 1599 nucleotides. NCBI's taxonomy places the organism in Eukaryota, Metazoa, Chordata, Actinopteri, Salmoniformes, Salmonidae. The record is from the annotation of a RefSeq genome assembly.
UCAUUGAGAGUCAACAUGUACAAACCUCUUAUCAUUAUCACAGUCCCCCUCUUCUGGAUCACAGAGCCAGACAUCCCUGUCACUCCACCCAAAGUCAAAGUCCUUCCACCCUCCACUAAGGAGUGUGAAGAUAGAAACAAGAAGAAGAAGAAGACGUUGGUGUGUGUGGCCACCGACUUCUACCCCGACCACGUCACUGUGUUCUGGAAGUUAAAUGGAGGCGCCAACAUCACCGAUGGAGUGGGGACCGACAACACUGCCUUGAGGGAUGAAAACAGACGCUACAGUAUCACCAGCAGACUGAGAGUCCCAGCCAAGACAUGGAACACGGCCUCUAACAGAUUCACCUGCACCGUCCGCUUCUUCAAUGGGACCGAUGACAUAUAUGUUGCAGAUCACAUUAACGGAGAAGAAGGUGGUGAUGGAGGGAUGACGACAGAGUACUACGUGAAGAGCACCCAGACUGCCAAGCUGGCCUACAGCUUCUUCAUCGCUAAGAGUACCUUCUACGGCCUGGUCGUCGUGGCUCUGAUUUGGAAGUUUCAGCGCUCCUCAGAUAAACAGAUGUAAUUGAUCCCUGACCGAGACCAGGCCACCUGUGGAAGCUGAGCUCAGUGUACUGGAGGGAGUCAUGUGUGGCAUAAGGCUCUGGUGAAAAGUAGUGCACUAUAAAGGGAACAGGAUGCCAUUUGGGACGAAGAACAAACCCAUUUCUAUCAUGUGAUUACAAUGUACAGUGUGCUGUCUAUUAUCUGUCACUUACUAUACAAUGUGAGGAUGUAUUUUAUCGUCCCCAAUAAACAGAAUCUUUAUUCAUGUAUUCACUGAGUGUACAAAACAUUAAGAACACCUUCCUCAUCCUCCCCCUUGAAUUCGUCGGGGACAUGGACUCUACAAGGUGUUGAAAGCGUUCCACAGGGAUGCUGGCCCAUGUUGACUCCAAUGCUUCCCACAGUUGUGUCAAGUUGUCUGGAUGUCCUUCGGGUGGUGGACCAUUCUUGAUAAACACCGGAAACUGUAGAACGUGAAAAACCCAGCAGCGUUGCAGUUCUUGACACAACCAGUGCACCCAGCACCUACUACCAUACCCCCGUUCAAAGGCACUUAAAUAUUUUGUCUUGUCCAUUCACCCUCUGAAGGACACACAGACACAAUCCAUGUCUCUAUUGUCUCAAGGCUUAAAAAUCCUUCCUUUAUCCAGUCUCCUCCCCUUCAUUCUACUUAACAAGUGGGAUCAUAUCUUUCACCUGGAUUCACCUGGCCAAUUUAUGUCAUGGAAAGAGCAGGUGUUCAUAAUGUUUUGUUCACUCAGUGUAUAUGAGUUAAUUCAGGAAGUGUGUCAAAAAACUAUUCCAUUAACUUACAAAAUCAACAUUUAUGUUAAUGUUUGUAUUAUUUUUGUUGCAGGAAUUACAUCAUAGUGUAUACAGUAUAAAUAUAUGUUGCUUUCCAAUUUCAAUGUUUUCCUGAUGAACAACACAUUCAAUAAUGUGCAAAUAGAGGCGUCUGGGUUUGGCCCCGGUAGGCCGACAUUAUAAAUAAGAAUUUGUUUUUUAACUGACUUGCCCAGUUAAAUAAAGGUUAAAUAAAAUAUAUAUA